This is a long non-coding RNA of Herpailurus yagouaroundi (jaguarundi), 307 nucleotides long. RefSeq lists it as uncharacterized. The transcript has 3 exons. The record is from RefSeq and is a predicted model, not a curated record. Lineage: Eukaryota; Metazoa; Chordata; Mammalia; Carnivora; Felidae.
AAACGAUCCCAUUGUAUUCCACACUGUAUGUGGCAUAGCUUCUGUUCCUAUCUCUGCUUUACAGAUGAGGAAACUGAAGCCUGCAGAGGAGAAGGAUUGCCUUGCAGUGCCUGCAAGAGUUUCAUGUGAAUUCACUCUUCUCUUCAGCCUUAGCACUAAGCUGCACUACGUAAAGAGAGAUCCUGAUAAUUUUGAAAUAGGAUUGAUCUUCUUUGAAAUGAAAAUCCAAUUUUAAAACUGACUGAAGGCCGAUCCUAAAAUAAAGAAUGUGUAUCGUCAAUCAGCACAUAGCAAACAGCACUACUGU